UUCAUGAGGCCUUGAGGCUCUGAAGAGGU
RNAcentral lists this non-coding RNA (29 nucleotides) under Homo sapiens (human). The record is from RNAcentral. Lineage: Eukaryota; Metazoa; Chordata; Mammalia; Primates; Hominidae.